Molecule: ribosomal RNA, 1466 nt
Filed under: Staphylococcus haemolyticus
Lineage: Bacteria; Bacillati; Bacillota; Bacilli; Caryophanales; Staphylococcaceae
Description: bacterial SSU rRNA
Rfam family: Bacterial small subunit ribosomal RNA
Source: RNAcentral
AUUUGUAAGCGCUGCGCGUGCAAAAUGCAGUCGAGCGACAGACAAGGAGCUUGCUCCUUUGACGUUAGCGGCGGACGGGUGAGUAACACGUGGGUAACCUACCUAUAAGACUGGGAUAACUUCGGGAAACCGGAGCUAAUACCGGAUAAUAUUUCGAACCGCAUGGUUCGAUAGUGAAAGAUGGUUUUGCUAUCACUUAUAGAUGGACCCGCGCCGUAUUAGCUAGUUGGUAAGGUAACGGCUUACCAAGGCGACGAUACGUAGCCGACCUGAGAGGGUGAUCGGCCACACUGGAACUGAGACACGGUCCAGACUCCUACGGGAGGCAGCAGUAGGGAAUCUUCCGCAAUGGGCGAAAGCCUGACGGAGCAACGCCGCGUGAGUGAUGAAGGUCUUCGGAUCGUAAAACUCUGUUAUUAGGGAAGAACAUACGUGUAAGUAACUAUGCACGUCUUGACGGUACCUAAUCAGAAAGCCACGGCUAACUACGUGCCAGCAGCCGCGGUAAUACGUAGGUGGCAAGCGUUAUCCGGAAUUAUUGGGCGUAAAGCGCGCGUAGGCGGUUUUUUAAGUCUGAUGUGAAAGCCCACGGCUCAACCGUGGAGGGUCAUUGGAAACUGGAAAACUUGAGUGCAGAAGAGGAAAGUGGAAUUCCAUGUGUAGCGGUGAAAUGCGCAGAGAUAUGGAGGAACACCAGUGGCGAAGGCGACUUUCUGGUCUGUAACUGACGCUGAUGUGCGAAAGCGUGGGGAUCAAACAGGAUUAGAUACCCUGGUAGUCCACGCCGUAAACGAUGAGUGCUAAGUGUUAAGGGGGUUUCCGCCCCUUAGUGCUGCAGCUAACGCAUUAAGCACUCCGCCUGGGGGAGUACGACCGCAAGGUUGAAACUCAAAGGAAUUGACGGGGACCCGCACAAGCGGUGGAGCAUGUGGUUUAAUUCGAAGCAACGCGAAGAACCUUACCAAAUCUUGACAUCCUUUGACAACUCUAGAGAUAGAGCCUUCCCCUUCGGGGGACAAAGUGACAGGUGGUGCAUGGUUGUCGUCAGCUCGUGUCGUGAGAUGUUGGGUUAAGUCCCGCAACGAGCGCAACCCUUAAGCUUAGUUGCCAUCAUUAAGUUGGGCACUCUAAGUUGACUGCCGGUGACAAACCGGAGGAAGGUGGGGAUGACGUCAAAUCAUCAUGCCCCUUAUGAUUUGGGCUACACACGUGCUACAAUGGACAAUACAAAGGGCAGCGAAACCGCGAGGUCAAGCAAAUCCCAUAAAGUUGUUCUCAGUUCGGAUUGUAGUCUGCAACUCGACUACAUGAAGCUGGAAUCGCUAGUAAUCGUAGAUCAGCAUGCUACGGUGAAUACGUUCCCGGGUCUUGUACACACCGCCCGUCACACCACGAGAGUUUGUAACACCCGAAGCCGGUGGAGUAACCAUUGGAGCUAGCCGUCGUUUGGUGGACAACUUAGUGGG